GCCUCCUAUUCCAGAGAAAACAGCAGGGUUAACUUAUUAUCUAAUUCUCAGUACUCACGUAUUUUAAUAGUCCUACUUGUCAUGGAUGAAAGUUAAGAGGAGUUCAAUUUGGGGGUAGGUAUCUUUCAUUCCCGUUCCUUAGUUGAGCCUCAUUUGUCUUGACCCAGGAAAGAAGAAUCAGACCGUAAACAACCAAGUUAAAGNNNNNNNNNNNNNNNNNNNNNNNNNNNNNNNNNNNNNNNNNUAUCAAGGAUUCUUCUCCACCUCUGCUGGUACCUUAUGCAGAUUUUCCCUUCAGAAACAGUAUCAGGGUAGCCUGUCUCCUCCUUUCUACCUGCUACUAACUAUCUUACUUUCAGGUUUUCUACUCCGAGGAAUUCUGCAAAAGAGGUUCUGGUCUCAAACCUUGACAUCUACCUUACCUGCGAAAGUCCUUGAAACAAGAAAGAUGACUGAUUUUUUUUUAGAGGUGGGGCCCUUUUAAAAUAACCUACUAGCUGUUGAAAAUAAACAGAAAGGAAAUGUGAGUGACAGAGUAAGCUUAAAUGUUCUGGGAAAUUAAAAAAAAAAAAAAAAGGACAGGAUGCCUUUGGAUCUUUGAACAACAUAUUCUAGUUUGGUAGAAAAGAAGAGAGUCAAGUUGAUAAGGGACUGUUGAAGGAAACAAACCACCAGCAUGGGGUGGACUGAUGGGGCAAGUGUCUGACACACGCUCUGAAAGGUUUUGGUCUAUUCAUUCUACUUCGUUUUAGUAUAGAGUCACAUCUGUCCUGUGUGCAGGAUCUAUAAACAUGCAAAGACAGAUUUGCUUUACUAUUCCAGGUACAUACUCUGAAACAUAAGCUGAAUGGAGGACUGAUGGUGCCCAACAUGUCAACUUGGAGGGCAAUCCAGGUGACCCUGCAUCUCUGGGUCCUAAAGCACGAAACCAGUGCCAUACGACCUGUCACUAAAAACUAUAGGAAAACAAAAAAGGUAGAAAUAAGUAAACAGAGAGGAGGGAUGACAACAACAAGAAAAAAUAAAUCUUGUAGUAAAAGAGAAGGAAAAAGAAACAAGCCUUCAGAGGAACAGAGUGUCAACUGGCAAAUACUUCACAAAUCAGUGUCUUUGUGUUAG
This 1119-nucleotide long non-coding RNA is filed under the name Capra hircus (goat). RNAcentral's name for it is "lncRNA (ENSCHIG00010001533.1)". The record is from RNAcentral. Lineage: Eukaryota; Metazoa; Chordata; Mammalia; Artiodactyla; Bovidae.